UAAGGGAGACGGGGGUCGUGUUGUAAUUUGAGAAGUUUUAAGCUCCCAUUUGCAAUUAAAAAUUGGGGUUAUUUUGCAAUUUCUAAAAUAAGGACCUGCCAUGCAAUUUUAAAUAUUGAAGGACCUAGUUUUAAUUUAAAUCUAGGGUUAAUAUACAAUUUUCAAAAGGGUAUUAAAUUUGAACUUUUAAAAAGUUUGACCCUAAGAUUUCAAUUUUGAC
RNAcentral lists this long non-coding RNA (220 nucleotides) under Olea europaea (common olive). RNAcentral's name for it is "long non-coding RNA (OEUR_LNC009924)". Lineage: Eukaryota; Viridiplantae; Streptophyta; Magnoliopsida; Lamiales; Oleaceae. The record is from RNAcentral.